CCUGUCAACCCCGCUCGCCGGUGGUGCGCCGUGUCCCCAGGACGUUCUAUUGGAUUCGCGAUUCGGCGUGACCCUGCACUCCAGUUCGCUAUUUUUCACUCAUUCCGGUCGGUUCCUCGCGUCCGAGGAAGGGGAUAAAUCAUCACCGCUGAGCAACCUCGCCGGAGCAGCGGGCAGCUUCGAGAAGGUAAGGGUGGGGCAUAAGAGGCAGACGCUGGUGGCGAUGGCCUCCUCGUCGACCGCGGCGGUGGAGUCGGCCGCUUCAGGUCGCUGGAGACGGGGGUGCGAGCGUGGAUGGAGAAGCUGCCCACCCACAUCGAGGCCACGGUGUUCGGGGCCGUGCAGAGUGGCGCGCUCGGCGGGCUGAUGCGCACGUUCACGCCGGAAAUAUCGGCAGACGGCUCUCCGUGCCGUAGGCGCCGCCCAGGCUCAACUCCAUGGCCCUGCCAUCCUUGGAGCAAGUGCAGGUUCCCUCCUCCUCAUGUAUAGUUCCCCUCUUGUUACAGAUUUACACGGGGACUAUCAAUUUUUGUAAUUCCUGUGAUACUUUUGUCAAAGAUUGCAAAUGCUUUUGAGUUCAGUCCCAGUGACGAAUUUGUUCUCACAUAUACCGAUGAUGAUGCAAUUGAUUAUUUCUUGUUCCUUGUUCAUAGCUUGUUCAGCCAGUAGGUGCAAUCGAAUUAUUAUUUGUUAAUGUCCAAACUAAAAUCAGUAGUUAGUAUCUCAUUUAGAGAUGUAUUAUGUUUUCAUGACUGAUGCACCGUAUAAGCUGACUCUAAUUCAUGAAAUCUCCAUUGCAAGUUGUAGAGAAGCAGUAAGUUACUCUCAUCAGCUAGGCAUCAAGCAGAUUACAGCCCAUUGCAAGUUAUGGAGAAGCAGUAAGUUACUCUCAUCAGCUAGGCAUCGAGCAGAUUCAGUCCAUUGCAAGGUUUGCAGCUGGGAGAAUCCCAGAGAUUUAGAGUACCGCUUCAACAAGUUUCCGCUGAUUCAGCUGUAGUACCAAACUUUUUUGAUGGAUUCUGUUGGUUAAAUGUAUUAUGGAGAGCUUCCGCCUCCCUGUGGUGAUUCAGCUGGAUUUCCGUUGAACGGUUGAGGAAAGGCUCGUCGAGUCUCCAAUGGUUUUCUUUUCCAAGCGCCAGAUGCUCGCCGAUAUGGGUCGUGUGGAAGAAAAUUGUCCAAGCGCCCGACAAUUGAUUAAAUCUGUGCAGCAGAGCAGAAGGGAUGUGGGUCACGGCAUUGUGCUAGUGUUGCACUGCAGAAGAGGAGAUAACUUAACUCGAUGCAUAUCUGUCAUGAGGAGAAGAGAGAGGAAGCCUGUUAUUGUGAUUUUGCUUCAAUUGGAUUCCGACCAAGGUCAGAGUUCAUCAGGUACUGCGGAAAAAAAUCGGCUUAGCGCCCGACUCAACUUUUCGCAUCGACACACUAAAUCUUGAGAUCGAUUGGGGUUUUGGUAUAACUACAAGGAAAAGGAUCCUAGCACCUGGAUUAAGUGCCUACAUUGUAGAUGUCCUAAGCCAUGGUGCUGCACCAGUCAAAGGUGUUAGUUCUCAGUCUCCCACCAAUCUGGUCCUCAUGCUGACGUGCACCAGUCCCUGGCUGCAGCCGAUGCACUGCUUGAGUGCUUGGUAGUGCGCGCGGAGUAUGCAUCGAAGGCUGCUUCCGCCUGAAGAGAGUGGUCAAUCCAACUCGAUCACCAAGUGCUAAAAGCAGAAAUACAAAUAUGAACUACAAAGGCAGUGCUCCCUGUCCACAGUACUGAUUUCUUUGUGGCCUCUUCAUAUCUGGAUAAUAAUUUGUUAAACUCUUACUCUUCCAUGUGUGCAUGACACAUGGCUGAUAGCAAGAAGCUAUAUGUAUACGCUUAUUUACUGAGUGUUUAUUUUACAUGUACAUAUCUAAGGAAGCAAUAGUAGUGGCUGUUAAAAGUUGUAUCUA
Molecule: non-coding RNA, 1935 nt
Organism: Lolium perenne
Lineage: Eukaryota; Viridiplantae; Streptophyta; Magnoliopsida; Poales; Poaceae
Source: RefSeq, a predicted model, not a curated record